Molecule: ribosomal RNA, 2920 nt
Filed under: Staphylococcus sp. MZ8
Lineage: Bacteria; Bacillati; Bacillota; Bacilli; Caryophanales; Staphylococcaceae
Description: 23S ribosomal RNA
Rfam family: Bacterial large subunit ribosomal RNA
Source: RNAcentral
GAUUAAGUUAUUAAGGGCGCACGGUGGAUGCCUUGGCACUAGAAGCCGAUGAAGGACGUUACUAACGACGAUAUGCUUUGGGGAGCUGUAAGUAAGCUUUGAUCCAGAGAUUUCCGAAUGGGGAAACCCAGCAUGAGUUAUGUCAUGUUAUCGAUAUGUGAAUACAUAGCAUAUCAGAAGGCACACCCGGAGAACUGAAACAUCUUAGUACCCGGAGGAAGAGAAAGAAAAUUCGAUUCCCUUAGUAGCGGCGAGCGAAACGGGAAGAGCCCAAACCAACAAGCUUGCUUGUUGGGGUUGUAGGACACUCUAUACGGAGUUACAAAGGACGACAUUAGACGAAUCAUCUGGAAAGAUGAAUCAAAGAAGGUAAUAAUCCUGUAGUCGAAAAUGUUGUCUCUCUUGAGUGGAUCCUGAGUACGACGGAGCACGUGAAAUUCCGUCGGAAUCUGGGAGGACCAUCUCCUAAGGCUAAAUACUCUCUAGUGACCGAUAGUGAACCAGUACCGUGAGGGAAAGGUGAAAAGCACCCCGGAAGGGGAGUGAAAUAGAACCUGAAACCGUGUGCUUACAAGUAGUCAGAGCCCGUUAAUGGGUGAUGGCGUGCCUUUGUAGAAUGAACCGGCGAGUUACGAUUUGAUGCAAGGUUAAGCAGUAAAUGUGGAGCCGUAGCGAAAGCGAGUCUGAAUAGGGCGUUUAGUAUUUGGUCGUAGACCCGAAACCAGGUGAUCUACCCUUGGUCAGGUUGAAGUUCAGGUAACACUGAAUGGAGGACCGAACCGACUUACGUUGAAAAGUGAGCGGAUGAACUGAGGGUAGCGGAGAAAUUCCAAUCGAACCUGGAGAUAGCUGGUUCUCUCCGAAAUAGCUUUAGGGCUAGCCUCAAGUGAUGAUUAUUGGAGGUAGAGCACUGUUUGGACGAGGGGCCCCUCUCGGGUUACCGAAUUCAGACAAACUCCGAAUGCCAAUUAAUUGAACUUGGGAGUCAGAACAUGGGUGAUAAGGUCCGUGUUCGAAAGGGAAACAGCCCAGACCACCAGCUAAGGUCCCAAAAUAUAUGUUAAGUGGAAAAGGAUGUGGCGUUGCCCAGACAACUAGGAUGUUGGCUUAGAAGCAGCCAUCAUUUAAAGAGUGCGUAAUAGCUCACUAGUCGAGUGACACUGCGCCGAAAAUGUACCGGGGCUAAACAUAUUACCGAAGCUGUGGAUUGUCCUUUGGACAAUGGUAGGAGAGCGUUCUAAGGGCGUUGAAGCAUGAUCGUAAGAACAUGUGGAGCGCUUAGAAGUGAGAAUGCCGGUGUGAGUAGCGAAAGACGGGUGAGAAUCCCGUCCACCGAUUGACUAAGGUUUCCAGAGGAAGGCUCGUCCGCUCUGGGUUAGUCGGGUCCUAAGCUGAGGCCGACAGGCGUAGGCGAUGGAUAACAGGUUGAUAUUCCUGUACCACCUAUAAUCGUUUUAAUCGAUGGGGGACGCAGUAGGAUAGGCGAAGCGUGCGAUUGGAUUGCACGUCUAAGCAGUAAGGCUGAGUAUUAGGCAAAUCCGGUACUCGUUAAGGCUGAGCUGUGAUGGGGAGAAGACAUUGUGUCUUCGAGUCGUUGAUUUCACACUGCCGAGAAAAGCCUCUAGAUAGAAAAUAGGUGCCCGUACCGCAAACCGACACAGGUAGUCAAGAUGAGAAUUCUAAGGUGAGCGAGCGAACUCUCGUUAAGGAACUCGGCAAAAUGACCCCGUAACUUCGGGAGAAGGGGUGCUCUUUAGGGUUAACGCCCAGAAGAGCCGCAGUGAAUAGGCCCAAGCGACUGUUUAUCAAAAACACAGGUCUCUGCUAAACCGUAAGGUGAUGUAUAGGGGCUGACGCCUGCCCGGUGCUGGAAGGUUAAGAGGAGUGGUUAGCUUCUGCGAAGCUACGAAUCGAAGCCCCAGUAAACGGCGGCCGUAACUAUAACGGUCCUAAGGUAGCGAAAUUCCUUGUCGGGUAAGUUCCGACCCGCACGAAAGGCGUAACGAUUUGGGCACUGUCUCAACGAGAGACUCGGUGAAAUCAUAGUACCUGUGAAGAUGCAGGUUACCCGCGACAGGACGGAAAGACCCCGUGGAGCUUUACUGUAGCCUGAUAUUGAAAUUCGGCACAGCUUGUACAGGAUAGGUAGGAGCCUUUGAAACGUGAGCGCUAGCUUACGUGGAGGCGCUGGUGGGAUACUACCCUAGCUGUGUUGGCUUUCUAACCCGCACCACUUAUCGUGGUGGGAGACAGUGUCAGGCGGGCAGUUUGACUGGGGCGGUCGCCUCCUAAAAGGUAACGGAGGCGCUCAAAGGUUCCCUCAGAAUGGUUGGAAAUCAUUCAUAGAGUGUAAAGGCAUAAGGGAGCUUGACUGCGAGACCUACAAGUCGAGCAGGGUCGAAAGACGGACUUAGUGAUCCGGUGGUUCCGCAUGGAAGGGCCAUCGCUCAACGGAUAAAAGCUACCCCGGGGAUAACAGGCUUAUCUCCCCAAGAGUUCACAUCGACGGGGAGGUUUGGCACCUCGAUGUCGGCUCAUCGCAUCCUGGGGCUGUAGUCGGUCCCAAGGGUUGGGCUGUUCGCCCAUUAAAGCGGUACGCGAGCUGGGUUCAGAACGUCGUGAGACAGUUCGGUCCCUAUCCGUCGUGGGCGUAGGAAAUUUGAGAGGAGCUGUCCUUAGUACGAGAGGACCGGGAUGGACAUACCUCUGGUGUACCAGUUGUCGUGCCAACGGCAUAGCUGGGUAGCUAUGUGUGGACGGGAUAAGUGCUGAAAGCAUCUAAGCAUGAAGCCCCCCUCAAGAUGAGAUUUCCCAACUUCGGUUAUAAGAUCCCUCAAAGAUGAUGAGGUUAAUAGGUUCGAGGUGGAAGCAUGGUGACAUGUGGAGCUGACGAAUACUAAUCGAUCGAAGACUUAAUCAA